UUCUUUAAGAUAUAAUUUAAAGUAAAACCUGCUCAAUGAAUUAUAUUAAAUAGCCGCAGUUAACUGUGCUAAGGUAGCAUAAUAAUUAGUCUCUUAAUUAGAGAAUAGUAUGAAAGGAUAAACGAGAUAAAUACUGUCUCAUAAAAACAAGAUAAAUUCACCUAAUAGUAAAAAGGCUAUUAUAAAUAAAAAAGACGACAAGACCCUGAUAAACUUUUUAUUUAGCUGGGGAGGCCAAUAAAAAAACCUUAAUUUUAUAGACAAAAAUACUAUUAAAAUAUUUACAGUUACUACAGGGAUAACAGCGCUACUUUUUUCUAGAGUCCCUAUCUAAAAAAAAUAGUACGACCUCGAUGUUGAAUUAUUUUCCCUUAUAAAAGCAAAAUUUUAAAAUGGAGGUCUGUUCAACCUAUAAUAAAUU
This 421-nucleotide ribosomal RNA is filed under the name Holocneminus sp. Phi74. Its description in RNAcentral is "partial 16S ribosomal RNA". It matches the Rfam family "Bacterial large subunit ribosomal RNA", at positions 1831 to 2597 of the family's 2925-position model. The record is from RNAcentral. Lineage: Eukaryota; Metazoa; Arthropoda; Arachnida; Araneae; Pholcidae.